UACGUAGGGGGCAAGCGUUGUCCGGAUUUAUUGGGCGUAAAGAGCGUGUAGGCGGUCAGGUAGGUCCGUUGUGAAAACUCGAGGCUCAACCUCGAGACGCCGAUGGAAACCAUCUGACUAGAGUCCGGAAGAGGAGAGUGGAAUUCCUGGUGUAGCGGUGAAAUGCGCAGAUAUCAGGAAGAACACCAAUGGCGAAGGCAGCUCGCUGGGACGGUACUGACGCUGAGACGCGAAAGCGUGGGGAGCAAACAGG
This 253-nucleotide ribosomal RNA is filed under the name uncultured bacterium. Its description in RNAcentral is "partial 16S ribosomal RNA". It matches the Rfam family "Bacterial small subunit ribosomal RNA", at positions 524 to 776 of the family's 1533-position model. The record is from RNAcentral.